GACGAACGCUGGCGGCGUGCUUAACACAUGCAAGUCGAACGGAAAGGCCCUGCUUUUGUGGGGUGCUCGAGUGGCGAACGGGUGAGUAACACGUGAGUAACCUGCCCUUGACUUUGGGAUAACUUCAGGAAACUGGGGCUAAUACCGGAUAGGAGCUCCUGCUGCAUGGUGGGGGUUGGAAAGUUUCGGCGGUUGGGGAUGGACUCGCGGCUUAUCAGCUUGUUGGUGGGGUAGUGGCUUACCAAGGCUUUGACGGGUAGCCGGCCUGAGAGGGUGACCGGCCACAUUGGGACUGAGGUACGGCCCAGACUCCUACUGGAGGCAGCAGUGGGGAAUAUUGCACAAUGGGCGGAAGCCUGAUGCAGCAACGCCGCGUGCGGGAUGACUGCCUUCGGGUUGUAAACCGCUUUCGCCUGUGACGAAGCGUGAGUGACGGUAAUGGGUAAAGAAGCACCGGCUAACUACGUG
Molecule: ribosomal RNA, 468 nt
Filed under: uncultured bacterium
Lineage: Bacteria
Description: partial 16S ribosomal RNA
Rfam family: Bacterial small subunit ribosomal RNA
Source: RNAcentral